RNAcentral lists this ribosomal RNA (122 nucleotides) under Segregatospumella sp. Its description in RNAcentral is "5.8S ribosomal RNA". It matches the Rfam family "5.8S ribosomal RNA", at positions 1 to 120 of the family's 154-position model. Rfam says of the family: 5.8S ribosomal RNA (5.8S rRNA) is a component of the large subunit of the eukaryotic ribosome. It is transcribed by RNA polymerase I as part of the 45S precursor that also contains 18S and 28S rRNA. The record is from RNAcentral. Lineage: Eukaryota; Chrysophyceae; Segregatospumellales; Segregatospumellaceae.
AACACUUUCAGCAACGGAUGUCUUGGCUCCCACAACGAUGAAGAACGCAGCGAAAUGCGAUACGUCAUGCGAAUUGCAAAAACCAGUGAGUCAUCAAAAUUUUGAACGCACCUUGCACUUCC